This 351-nucleotide transfer-messenger RNA is filed under the name Deltaproteobacteria bacterium. It matches the Rfam family "transfer-messenger RNA". Rfam says of the family: Bacterial tmRNA, also known as 10Sa RNA or SsrA, is named for its dual tRNA and mRNA-like properties. RNAcentral also lists the same sequence under 1 other name. The record is from RNAcentral. Lineage: Bacteria; Pseudomonadati; Myxococcota; Myxococcia.
GGGGGCGAACUGGUUUCGACGGGGGUGAGGAAACGAAUGCUGCGUGUCGGGGGUCCUGUUCACCCCGUGACCCGAGCAGGACUGCUUAACUGCAGACAAUAACUUCGCACUGGCUGCCUAAUAGGCCGCCACGCUCGACCGGCCUGCGCCCGUAGGGCUGGCUCGAGCGUCAUACUUCGGGCUGGGCCCCCGCGAGUGCCGGCGGCGCGGGGGCUGAGACUGAAUGCCGGCUGGCCGCGUGAGAUCCUGCCUGCGGGAGCGAGCGCGGUGACAACAAACCACAGGCUACACACGUAGACGUGCUCGUGGAUGCACCUUCGGACGGGGGUUCGAUUCCCCCCGCCUCCACUC